This 451-nucleotide ribosomal RNA is filed under the name uncultured bacterium. Its description in RNAcentral is "bacterial SSU rRNA". It matches the Rfam family "Bacterial small subunit ribosomal RNA", at positions 28 to 524 of the family's 1533-position model. The record is from RNAcentral.
GAUGAACGCUAGCGGCAUGCCUAACACAUGCAAGUCGAACGCCCUCUUCGGAGGGAGUGGCGCACGGGUGCGUAACGCGUGGGAACCUGCCCUUAGGUUCGGAAUAACUCAGAGAAAUUUGAGCUAAUACCGGAUAAUGUCUUCGGACCAAAGAUUUAUCGCCUUUGGAUGGGCCCGCGUUGGAUUAGCUAGUUGGUGGGGUAAAGGCCUACCAAGGCGACGAUCCUUAGCUGGUCUGAGAGGAUGAUCAGCCACACUGGGACUGAGACACGGCCCAGACUCCUACAGGAGGCAGCAGUGGGGGAAUAUUGGACAAUGGGCGAAAGCCUGAUCCAGCAAUGCCGCGUGAGUGAUGAAGGCCUUAGGGUUGUAAAGCUCUUUUACCCGGGAUGAUAAUGACAGUACCGGGAGAAUAAGCCCCGGCUAACUCCGUGCCAGCAGCCGCGGUAAU